This is an RNA transcript of Clarias gariepinus (North African catfish), 1467 nucleotides long. It is a transcript of the gene named zinc finger protein 414, with no coding region annotated. The record is from RefSeq and is a predicted model, not a curated record. The transcript is spliced from 8 exons. Lineage: Eukaryota; Metazoa; Chordata; Actinopteri; Siluriformes; Clariidae.
UCGGUGCGCCUUCUAUUGCACGUACAGUAACGUAAACACAACGGCGCGAGCUGUCAAACAAAAAACAACAACAAUAAUAAUACAAAACCUGGAAAUAUUUUAAAGAUUUUAUCAAUUAAGAAAGCUUAGUUAGUGAGAGGAGGUAGAGUUCUGCAUCCUGUCCAUCACUGCACCCCUGAAGCACCAUGGAGGGCUGCCAUUUAUCCUGUUCGUUUCAUAACUGUAAGCGGACCUUCAAUCAUCCAGAUGUUCUGAACAUCCACCUGAAGGACCAUCAUAAGAAUCCUGCACAAUCCCUGCCUGGUAAGUCGUUUCUGUGCUCGACGAUAGGAUGUGACGGAUCUUUCACCACCAUGCAGCAGCUGAUGGAUCACAUGAGGCAUCAUCACAAGCCGAAUUAUUUCUUCCUAUGUGAGAGCUGCCGGGCCAAGCUCCGCUCCUACCGCACCCUCCUCAAGCACCUCCAGACGUGCGCCAAGGUCGCCAAAGGCAAAGGCACGAGACCCGAAGGAGGUCUGAUACCCGAUCCGUCUGUUCCCAGCACUGAUUCCGACCCUGAUGGUUCUUUCCAAGCUGUAGAUGAAUCUCAGCAGAUGGAGUCUAACCCCUUGCUGCCUCCACAAGCUCAGUUUCAAGCCAUUUCAUCAGACCAAGAGUCCCUGUCUUCUCUGGCAGAAUCUGGAUCUACUGCUUCUGAGGCGGCAAAGUCCCAGAAUCAAGCGGAUGCUCCCUACAGCCCGUUUCCUCCAAGCCUGUCCCCUGCACCUGAUCCUGAGCCCCAGCGCUCGCCCAGGGUCGGUCCGGUCAGCAUGACGCCCUCUGUGCCACCACCUCCACCAGGCUCUAACGCCGUCUGGAGGAAGAACCAAGCAGACUUGCCUGCGCCUAUUUUGCACAGAUGGAACUCUCCUCAGACUUUGAGUAGAGAGGAUGUCCAGGUCAGUCCUUUAACAGUCGGAUCCUAUGGGAGCACACUAGGGGGCGAUACAGCUGCCUUCAGUGCGGUCACUCCACCCUCGAGCGCAAAGAGAUGACAGCACACAUCGAGAGCCAGCACAGGAGCCCAGGGGCCAAAACUAAUGACACGGACGCAUCGGUUGGUUCGCCUUCGUCCCUGGGUAAAACCUCAACAAACUCAGAGAGCACGAAUUACACUCAGCUUUAGAUUCCCACCAGAUGAUAAACUCCGGAUUUGAACGGCUGUUGUAGCUCACACGAUCAAAAUCUCAAGUAUCAAAACAGUGACUUUCUGGUUGAAUCUCUCCAGGAAGUUCAUGUUCUACUUAUUUUCCAUUUACAUUUUGAUUGUAAUUACAGUAUGAUUAAAAAGAAUGUAUACAUUGUAUUUUAAGGCCUACAGCAGUAGAUUGUAUGUGCUUUAGUAGUGGCAUGUAACUGAUUUGUACUUGAUUGUACACACAGGCAAGUACAUCAGUGUUUUUAAUAUCAGUAAAAAUAUUGAAGUGG